RNAcentral lists this ribosomal RNA (460 nucleotides) under uncultured bacterium. Its description in RNAcentral is "partial 16S ribosomal RNA". It matches the Rfam family "Bacterial small subunit ribosomal RNA", at positions 338 to 795 of the family's 1533-position model. The record is from RNAcentral.
CCUACGGGAGGCAGCAGUGAGGAAUAUUGGUCAAUGGGCGCGAGCCUGAACCAGCCAAGUAGCGUGAAGGAUGACUGCCCUAUGGGUUGUAAACUUCUUUUAUAAAGGAAUAAAGUGAGGCACGUGUGCCCUUUUGUAUGUACUUUAUGAAUAAGGCUCGGCUAACUCCGUGCCAGCAGCCGCGGUAAUACGGAGGAUCCGAGCGUUAUCCGGAUUUAUUGGGUUUAAAGGGAGCGUAGAUGGGUUGUUAAGUCAGUUGUGAAAGUUUACGGCUCAACCGUAAAAUUGCAGUUGAUACUGGCAGCCUUGAGUACAGGAGAGGUAGGCGGAAUUCGUGGUGUAGCGGUGAAAUGCUUAGAUAUCACGAAGAACACCGAUUGCGAAGGCAGCCUGCUGGACUGUAACUGACGCUGAUGCUCGAAAGUGUGGGUAUCAAACAGGAUUAGAUACCCGAGUAGUC